This 73-nucleotide transfer RNA is filed under the name Chitinophagaceae bacterium. Its description in RNAcentral is "tRNA-Phe". It matches the Rfam family "tRNA". From Rfam's summary of the family: Transfer RNA (tRNA) molecules are approximately 80 nucleotides in length. Their secondary structure includes four short double-helical elements and three loops (D, anti-codon, and T loops). The record is from RNAcentral. Lineage: Bacteria; Pseudomonadati; Bacteroidota; Chitinophagia; Chitinophagales; Chitinophagaceae.
GGUGAGAUAGCUCAGCUGGUAGAGCAAUGGACUGAAAAUCCAUGUGUCGCCGGUUCAAGCCCGGCUCUUACCA